UACGUAGGGUGCGAGCGUUAGUCGGAAUUACUGGGCGUAAAGUGUGCGCAGGUGGCCGCGCAAGUCGCGUGUGAAAUCCCCGAGCUUAACUUGGGAAUUGCGCUCGAAACUACGUGGCUCGAGUGUGGCAGAGGAAGGUGGAAUUCCACGUGUAGCGGUGAAAUGCGUGGAUAUCGGGAGGAACACCAGUGGCGAAGGCGAGUCUCUGGGAUGAUGCUGACGCUGAGGCGCGAAAGCCAGGGGAGCAAACGGG
RNAcentral lists this ribosomal RNA (253 nucleotides) under uncultured bacterium. RNAcentral describes it as "partial 16S ribosomal RNA". It matches the Rfam family "Bacterial small subunit ribosomal RNA", at positions 524 to 776 of the family's 1533-position model. The record is from RNAcentral.